Molecule: ribosomal RNA, 253 nt
Filed under: uncultured bacterium
Lineage: Bacteria
Description: partial 16S ribosomal RNA
Rfam family: Bacterial small subunit ribosomal RNA
Source: RNAcentral
UACAGAGGUGGCAAGCGUUGUUCGGAGUUACUGGGCGUAAAGGGCUCGUAGGCGGCCAACUAAGUCAGACGUGAAAUCCCUCGGCUUAACCGGGGAACUGCAUCUGAUACUGGAUGGCUUGAGUUCGGGAGAGGGAUGCGGAAUUCCAGGUGUAGCGGUGAAAUGCGUAGAUAUCUGGAGGAACACCGGUGGCGAAGGCGGCAUCCUGGACCGACACUGACGCUGAGGAGCGAAAGCCAGGGGAGCAAACGGG